GACGAACCGAGCGAACGUUGUUCGGAAUCACUGGGCUUAAAGGGCGCGUAGGCGGGCUGCCAAGUCCGUGGUGAAAUCCCCCGGCUCAACCGGGGAAGGGCCUCGGAUACUGGCGGCCUCGAGGGGGGUAGGGGCGUGCGGAACUGUGGGUGGAGCGGUGAAAUGCGUUGAUAUCCACAGGAACUCCGGUGGCGAAGGCGGCACGCUGGACCCCAUCUGACGCUGAGGCGCGAAAGCCAGGGGAGCGAACGGG
Molecule: ribosomal RNA, 253 nt
Filed under: uncultured bacterium
Lineage: Bacteria
Description: partial 16S ribosomal RNA
Rfam family: Bacterial small subunit ribosomal RNA
Source: RNAcentral